GUGCUCACUUUGGUGGCACAUAGAGUGAAAUCAGAAUGAGACAGAGAUUAGCAUGGCCCCUGCAUUAGGAUGACAUGCAAAUUUGUGAAGAGUUCCAUAGUUUU
Molecule: small nuclear RNA, 104 nt
Organism: Mustela putorius furo (domestic ferret)
Lineage: Eukaryota; Metazoa; Chordata; Mammalia; Carnivora; Mustelidae
Source: Ensembl